CUGGGCUGCUCCGUACCCGCGGUGCUUGUUCUUUAGUACCCGGGGUGCUCGGUCCCCGCGGUGUUCAGUGCUUAGUACCCGGGGUGCUCGGUGCUCAGUCUGCUAGGUGCUCGGUGCUGAGUCCCCGCGGUGCUAGGUACUAAGUUCCCGGGGUGCUCAGUCCCCGCGGCGCUCAGUGUUUAGGACCUGGGGUAUUCGGUGCUCAGUUCGCUGGGUGCUUGGUGCUGAGUCCCCGCGGUGCUAGGCGCUCAGUCUAGGGUGCCCGGUGCUUAGUACCUGGUGUACUCGGUCCCCGCGGUACUCGGUUCCCUCGGUGCUCAGUCAGCUGGGUGCUUGGUUCCAUCGGUGUUCGGUGCUCGGUCACCGCCAUGCCCGGCCCCGCCGGGUCCAUCGCCGUCAUCCUCCUGCUGCAGCUCCAGAUCCGGGAGAGCGCGGGUGAGUGGGGAUGGGCGGGCGGGGUCCUCGGGGCUCGCGGGGUCAUGUGGGGCCCGGGCCGGGGUCGCGGUGACGUCAGAGAGGGCGCAGCCGCGUGGUACCCACUUCCGGGAUCCGAUCAGGCACGGGUGGCGGACAAGGCUGGGGACGGGAAAUCCCGCCCCCGAGUCCAGAUUGACAGGUGGAGUUUACAGCUAGAAAGUCCCGCCCCGGGCGCCCAGACUGACAGGCCGGGAGCGCAGCCUCGGGGCGCUCAGUCUCUCCCCGUCCCUGACGUCACCCGUCCUCGCCCCCCAGAAGACUUCACCGUAGUUUGCCGUGACCUGCGCGACGUGGAGGUCACGUGGGACCCAGCCGAGCAUGCAGGGGCGAAUCUGAGCCUGACUUGGCGCUACACCUCAGAACCCCUGCGGCCCUGCCCCCGGUACUUCCUGUCCGGCGGCCUCACUUCCGGCUGCGUCCUCCCAGUGCGCAGCGGACGCCCCCUGGAGAUUGACGUGCGUCGGGGGGCGGAACCCGUGUACCACUGGAAGGGGCUGGCCUCAGCCUUCCUGAAGCCCCGCCCUCCCGACAAACUAACUCUCCAUUGGCUGGACGAUGCCAUCCAUGUCACAUGUCCUGCCCUCCCCCACAUUGGCCUCGAUUAUGUCAUCCAGCACCGAGGGAUGGGGGACACGGACUGGGUGACUUCCUGUCCCGUCUCGCAGGCCUCCGCUCCAGCGCCCUCCUGUGAUGUCACCGUGGGCGGAGUCGACCGCAGUGCCUGCCUAGCCUUCAGGGUCCGGGCGUUCCCGCGGGAAUCGUUCUAUGGAGGCGAAGUGCAGCCUAGCGAUUGGAGCCCUGUGACACAAUGGAGGGCCGGUGACGCCAUGGGUGCAGGGAAUGACUCCUGUCAGGCCCCGCCCUAUUCCGGGUUCCCAAAGCUCCAGGUCGCCUGUGGCCUCGUGACCUUGCUGACAUCAUUGCUGCUGCUGCUGGCACUGUGGAGGGUCAAGCACAGCCUCCUCCCCUGGGUCCCCGACCCCAGGGGUGGCUUCCGAGGACUGUUUGAGCGACAUGGUGGGAACUUCCAGGCCUGGAUUGCACAGGACGUGUCUCCGCCCCCGAAGCCCGAAGCCAUUGACCCCACUGACCCUGCUGAGGUGGCCCUGGUCCUGGAGCAUCAUGGGAAGGGCUCGGCACCCGACCCAGCCUUGGGGUCUCCUGGGCUCCCCUGCCAGGGCCCGAGGGACAGGGACCUGGUGAGGGUGGGCGGGGCCACCUUCGUGAUGGAUGGAGGUUCAUACAUGACCCUGUGACCCCGACGUGACCCUGCUGGCUGUGACCCCGUCGGCCUUGAUGAAAGAAUUAGCUCAUAGUGCAUGCUGGGAAGAGGGAAAAUUUCUGGGUCUGCAUUUCUAGUAAAACGUCACAUGUGAGUCUCAAGUAUUAUGAUGUCACAUGUGAGUUUCUGGUAUGUGAGUGUCAUAUUACUGUGGGGUUCUUAUGCACAGCAUGACGCCUCGCAGACUGAACUACAUCUCCUAGCAUUCACUGCGGCUCCUUCCUUAUUACUUCUGGCUGUCAAGCAAUUUUUUUCCUGAUUCCGAGUAUAAGCCAGCAGAGCUCUUAAUAUUGCGGGUGCUGUGAGGUGAACUACUUCUCCCAGGAUGUACUUUGAUUUCGUUAUCUCACUUCCGGCGGGGAUUCACGUACUUCUGAUUCCCAGUAUGAAGCAGGGCUGUGGGGCUCUCACGUUGAACCAGCAUGCAUUACGGGGCUACUCCUGACUUCCGGCUGUCAACGCGUCCUGAUUCCCAGUGUAAACCAGUGCAGUCCGGGAAUGCAGCGUGGAGACACAAUUUGGGCCUCCCAGAGUAAACUACAUCUCUCAGUAUGCACUGCGUCGCCGGGAAUCUCACUUCCAACUGUAAAGCACAUUUUUCCGAUUCCCAGUUUAAGUCAGUGCUGUGCAGGACGGAAGCCGGUGUGGGCCUACCAGGGAGAACUACAUCUUCUAGCUUGCACUACGGCCCCUGGAUCUCACUUCCGGUAACCCGAACUUCUCGUUCACGGCGUCUGUGACCAUGGUAGGAUCCUAUUGUGAACUACAUCUCCCAGUAUGCCCGGCGGCUCUUCCUGGACCUAUUUCUGAUGUCAUUAGCUGUCACUCCGACCGCCGGUACAACCGAAAGUGUUCACCACUGCGCCGGUUUCUCGGGCACGCCGUGUCCGUUGACCGGGGUCCCAGGUGAACUACAUCUCCCAGAAGCCUCGGCGGUGUUCUACAAAACUUCCGGUACAUACCGAAAACGCCCGUGCCUGCCUUAUUAACGAAUCCCCGCCGUGGUCUAUCGGUGGGCGGUGUUUCGCGGUAAACUACAUCUCCCAGAAUGCUCGGGAUUGCUGCCGAGUUCGUAAAGUUCCGCCGUGACUGUGAAUCGGGGUCCCAUGUGAGCCACGUCUCCCAGAGGGCUCGGCGGUUUGCCCAACUACUUUCUAGUAUACACCAGAAUCGCGUUUGACCAGCUUCCUAGGCCCCACGGUACUUGGAGUGAAAUCUGGUUCUGUGUUGAGGAUCCGCGAUCUUCUCGUGUGCGUGAAAUCCUUCCGGGGAAAAUUCAUUCUACAUCCCAUGGCAUGUGCGCCUGUGCUGUUACAACACACGUGCCUCGCACCCAAGUCCCCUGCAUGGGGCGGGAUGGCGCCUGACAUGGUGACAGACAUGCGGGACCCAGACAUGACCCCAAGGGCCUCGGUGCCGAUGUCAUUGUAGCAUCACCCAUGGCAUGUGCUGACAUGUGUUGUCUGUGAAAGGUGACCGCCGGGUGUUCAUUCACACGGGCUGUGCGUGUGCUGUCAUCAGGCAACAUCGCCAUCUUGACAUCGUCACAAUCAUUGUGUGACAUCACCGUGACCAUGGCAUGACAUCACUGCAUGUUAUAUUGGUCAUUCUUCCACACAGGUGACGUAGGUUCUUGUGUUCCACACGUGUCCCUGUCUGUUUUUUCACAUGUUUCACAGAUUCACACAUUUUCUCAUGUGUUUUACACACUCAGCCUGGUUCAUUGUUUAUUUCCACAUACAGACCAGUGUGCAAGUCAAGCUUUAGCCUGGUUGUUAUGCAUGUGGACAUUCAUCAUGCAUGUACGUGGCUGUUUCUGUUUUUUUCCCCACAGUUUAGACACGCAGAACAAUUUAUGUGUUCAUAUGUUUUAUGUGUUCAUCACGGGUAAUUUUGAUUUUCCGGAUCUCAUCCAUUCCAUGUGUGUUCGCGUGGAGCCGCCUUCCGAUGGUCUGCACCCGUUCAUUUACUUUCCAUGUGUUUUCUGCAUGCGUCGUUAGCUCCUGGUUUGUAAUAAUUCCCUAUCACAGGUUCAUCUGUAUGUUCAGCCAUGUUCAUUCAGUUCAUGUAUUAAAAUCGCUCGAUUCUCU
RNA transcript from Alexandromys fortis (reed vole), 3849 nucleotides. It is a transcript of the gene named cytokine receptor-like factor 2, with no coding region annotated. The record is from RefSeq and is a predicted model, not a curated record. NCBI's taxonomy places the organism in Eukaryota, Metazoa, Chordata, Mammalia, Rodentia, Cricetidae. The transcript is spliced from 9 exons.